CAUUGCUGGAACGCGCCCCAGGCGCACCCAGAAACCCUUUGUGAACUUAUACCUUUUGUUGCCUCGGCGCUGCUGGCCCUCACAGGCCCUUUGCUUCACAGCAAAGAGACGGCACGCCGGCGGCCAAAUCAACUCUGUUUUUACACUGAAACUCUGAGAAAAAACACAAAUGAAUCAAAACUUUCAACAACGGAUCUCUUGGUUCUGGCAUCGAUGAAGAACGCAGCGAAAUGCGAUAAGUAAUGUGAAUUGCAGAAUUCAGUGAAUCAUCGAAUCUUUGAACGCACAUUGCGCCCUCUGGUAUUCCGGAGGGCAUGCCUGUUCGAGCGUCAUUUCAACCCUCAAGCAUUGCUUGGUGUUGGGGCACUGCUUUUAACGAAGCAGGCCCUGAAAUCUAGUGGCGAGCUCGCCAGGACCCCGAGCGCAGUAGUUAAACCCUCGCUCUGGAAGGCCCUGGCGGUGCCCUGCCGUUAAACCCCCAACUUCUGAAAAUU
This 494-nucleotide ribosomal RNA is filed under the name fungal sp. 229c2c. RNAcentral describes it as "eukaryotic LSU rRNA". The stretch from base 179 to 332 matches the Rfam family "5.8S ribosomal RNA". The record is from RNAcentral. Lineage: Eukaryota; Fungi.